GAAUUAGCCUGGGCUACAGGAUACGGCUAGGAUGAGCGAAAAUCGGGCGCUCCCGUAUCACAGGGACAUGCCAAAAGCUUUGAUCGGUUGGUGCUUAGAUGAGAUAUAGCCAUGUGAAGCACUCAGCGCACUUGACUCCCAGCUCCGCACUCAUCUGAUUACAGGUUAAUAUCGUCUUUGGAGAUCAAAUAGAAUGUGACAGUGCUCCUAAACAUUCUACAUAGUAUACAGUCUUCCACAGAAUGAAUGUUUCCAAGGCAUAGAAAAAGAAAGGCACCACCAGGGAGUUCCUUCUUUUUUAUAUGGAUAUCAUUUAGGCAGUUGGUGCUUCAAUUCCCAAUUAGAGCUUUUAAUAUAUUAAAUACUU
This is a long non-coding RNA of Hyla sarda, 367 nucleotides long. RefSeq lists it as uncharacterized. Lineage: Eukaryota; Metazoa; Chordata; Amphibia; Anura; Hylidae. The record is from RefSeq and is a predicted model, not a curated record. The transcript is spliced from 3 exons.